Molecule: ribosomal RNA, 595 nt
Filed under: uncultured marine eukaryote
Lineage: Eukaryota
Description: SSU rRNA
Rfam family: Eukaryotic small subunit ribosomal RNA
Source: RNAcentral
UAUCUGGUUGAUCCUGCCAGUAGUCAUAUGCUUGUCUCAAAGACUAAGCCAUGCAUGUCUAAGUAUAAGUAUUAUACAGCGAAACUGCGAAUGGCUCAUUAAAACAGUUAUAGUUUAUUUGGUGAUCAAAUUACAUGGAUAACCGUGGUAAUUCUAGAGCUAAUACAUGCGUAAAGGGCCGUUAGGCUUGUAUUUAUUAGAUAACAGACCAAUGAAGUGGUGACUCAUAGUAACUGAUCGAAUCGCACGGGCUUGCCCGCGAUAAAUCAUUCAAGUUUCUGCCCCAUCAGCUGUAGAUGGUAGUGUAUUGGACUACCAUGGCUUUCACGGGUAACGGAGGAUUAGGGUUCGAUUCCGGAGAGGGAGCCUGAGAAACGGCUACCACAUCUAAGGAAGGCAGCAGGCGCGUAAAUUACCCAAUACUGAUUCAGUGAGGUAGUGACAAGAAAUAGCGGGCCGGCUUCAUGCCGGGACUGAAAUGAUUAGAAUUUAACGACCUUUACGAGGAACAAUUGGAGGGCAAGUCUGGUGCCCAGCAGCCGCGGUAAUUCCAGCUCCAAUAGCGUAUAUUAAAGNUGUUGCAGUUAAAAAGCUC